RNAcentral lists this ribosomal RNA (506 nucleotides) under uncultured bacterium. RNAcentral's name for it is "partial 16S ribosomal RNA". It matches the Rfam family "Bacterial small subunit ribosomal RNA", at positions 29 to 523 of the family's 1533-position model. The record is from RNAcentral.
AGUGAACGCUGGCCGUAGGCCUAACACAUGCAAGUCGAACGGCAGCACAGGAGAGCUUGCUCUCUGGGUGGCGAGUGGCGGACGGGUGAGGAAUACAUCGGAAUCUACUUUUUCGUGGGGGAUAACGUAGGGAAACUUACGCUAAUACCGCAUACGACCUACGGGUGAAAGCAGGGGAUCUUCGGACCUUGCGCGAUUGAAUGAGCCUAUGUCGGAUUAGCUAGUUGGCGGGGUAAAGGCCCACCAAGGCGACGAUCCGUAGCUGGUCUGAGAGGAGGAUCAGCCACACUGGAACUGAGACACGGUCCAGACUCCUACGGGAGGCAGCAGUGGGGAAUAUUGGACAAUGGGCGCAAGCCUGAUCCAGCCAUACCGCGUGGGUGAAGAAGGCCUUCGGGUUGUAAAGCCCUUUUGUUGGGAAAGAAAUCCAGCUGGUUAAUACCCGGUUGGGAUGACGGUACCCAAAGAAUAAGCACCGGCUAACUUCGUGCCAGCCGCCGCCGUAA